UGUGUGUUCCAGGUAAAUCCGGUUCACUUUAACACUGAGGCGUGACGACGAGGCACUACGGUGCUGAAGCAACAAAUGCCCUGCUUCCAGGAAAAGCCUCUAAGCAUCAGGUAACAUCAAAUCGUACCCCAAACCGACACAGGUGGUCAGGUAGAGAAUACCAAGGCGCUUGAGAGAACUCGGGUGAAGGAACUAGGCAAAAUGGUGCCGUAACUUCGGGAGAAGGCACGCUGACACGUAGGUGAAGUGAUUUACUCAUGGAGCUGAAGUCAGUCGAAGAUACCAGCUGGCUGCAACUGUUUAUUAAAAACACAGCACUGUGCAAACACGAAAGUGGACGUAUACGGUGUGACGCCUGCCCGGUGCCGGAAGGUUAAUUGAUGGGGUCAGCGCAAGCGAAGCUCCUGAUCGAAGCCCCGGUAAACGGCGGCCGUAACUAUAACGGUCCUAAGGUAGCGAAAUUCCUUGUCGGGUAAGUUCCGACCUGCACGAAUGGCGUAAUGAUGGCCAGGCUGUCUCCACCCGAGACUCAGUGAAAUUGAACUCGCUGUGAAGAUGCAGUGUACCCGCGGCAAGACGGAAAGACCCCGUGAACCUUUACUAUAGCUUGACACUGAACAUUGAGCCUUGAUGUGUAGGAUAGGUGGGAGGCUUUGAAGUGUGGACGCCAGUCUGCAUGGAGCCGACCUUGAAAUACCACCCUUUAAUGUUUGAUGUUCUAACGUGGACCCGUUACCCGGGUUGCGGACAGUGUCUGGUGGGUAGUUUGACUGGGGCGGUCUCCUCCUAAAGAGUAACGGAGGAGCACGAAGGUUGGCUAAUCCUGGUCGGACAUCAGGAGGUUAGUGCAAUGGCAUAAGCCAGCUUGACUGCGAGCGUGACGGCGCGAGCAGGUGCGAAAGCAGGUCAUAGUGAUCCGGUGGUUCUGAAUGGAAGGGCCAUCGCUCAACGGAUAAAAGGUACUCCGGGGAUAACAGGCUGAUACCGCCCAAGAGUUCAUAUCGACGGCGGUGUUUGGCACCUCGAUGUCGGCUCAUCACAUCCUGGGGCUGAAGUAGGUCCCAAGGGUAUGGCUGUUCGCCAUUUAAAGUGGUACGCGAGCUGGGUUUAGAACGUCGUGAGACAGUUCGGUCCCUAUCUGCCGUGGGCGCUGGAGAACUGAGGGGGGCUGCUCCUAGUACGAGAGGACCGGAGUGGACGCAUCACUGGUGUUCGGGUUGUCAUGCCAAUGGCACUGCCCGGUAGCUAAAUGCGGAAGAGAUAAGUGCUGAAAGCAUCUAAGCACGAAACUUGCCCCGA
Molecule: ribosomal RNA, 1299 nt
Filed under: Salmonella enterica
Lineage: Bacteria; Pseudomonadati; Pseudomonadota; Gammaproteobacteria; Enterobacterales; Enterobacteriaceae
Also listed under: 1 other name
Description: partial 23S ribosomal RNA
Rfam family: Bacterial large subunit ribosomal RNA
Source: RNAcentral